This is a long non-coding RNA of Trematomus bernacchii (emerald rockcod), 1416 nucleotides long. RefSeq lists it as uncharacterized. NCBI's taxonomy places the organism in Eukaryota, Metazoa, Chordata, Actinopteri, Perciformes, Nototheniidae. The transcript has 4 exons. The record is from RefSeq and is a predicted model, not a curated record.
CCUUGAACGCUGAGCAGAAGGCUGGGGCUGAGGGAGGCAGAGGAGAGGGGAAGGCAGGCUGGAGGAGAGGCUAGGACAGGGAGAGCCCAGGCCGGGGUACGAGCUCCGAGGCUGGGGGAACGAGGGGUUGGCAGGCCAGGGGGAAAAAGGUGGGAAGUUGGAAGGGUGGGGUUGACAUAGGAACCUGGUGAAGGUGGGAUAAAGGUGAGGGACUGGGAGAGAAAUGCUAGGUGUCUUCAAGACGAGGGAUAAGGUGUCACAUGGAGGAGGAGGAAAGGCCAGGUAGGGCAGAUAAAGUGACAUACAAGACAUGGGAGACUAGCCAGGAGGGUUUACAUAGAUCGAAAUAUAUAAUUUUUCCUGCAUAAACAUGCCGUAUGUGUAGGAACAGUAAUCUCAAGUCAGUUACUUUAUAAGAACUCGAAUAUUCUGGAGGUAUAACAGAUCUACAUUUGGGCAGAAAGAGUUGAGUAUUCCAGCUUCAGGAGUGGAGUCAUUUUUUUUGUGUGCUUUUCCUGCCAUGGAUGUAAUGCUGGUUCAGCCACCCACGUCCAAUCAGACAUCAGGAGCGCGGGCCUUGUCAUAAUGACAGCCAUGACAUCACUGCAAGGGCUCGCGGAAAGAAGACAGCGCAGCUCCAGACAGACAGCGGGGCUCCGCGGGGCUACACGGCGGAAAUAGCGAGCCGGCUGCCGGAUAGAAACAGCGCGGACUACCGGGGAUGGGGGAACUUGCGGAGGGCGCCGUUUUGAGAUUUCGCGGCCGGCAUUGGGAGCUCUGUGCCGGGCACGCGGAGGCUUCCUCGCCGGGGGAAGCGCGAGGGAGUUAUGGAGGAGGUUGAGAGGAACGGCAUCUUGUUUAAUUUCUGCCAAUCAAGACGAGAGGAGGACAACUCCCAAACCGGCAUGACAUAACAGGAGAGUGAAGACAGGAUCAAGAGACCAGGACAAUUUAUGAACCCGAUGGCAUAUGGGAACUGGUAUCACAUGCAGCCAGCAGGAGUAAAGAGACAAGAGUAAAAGAGCUCGCUGUCAGAAGUGAGAGUCAUUUCUAGGUGAAGCAUACUGAAUUAAAGUGAAUCAAGCUGAACUGAUCUGAACUGGAAUGGCCUGAGCUGAACUGAUCUGAACUGGAAUGGCCUGAGCUGAACUGAAAGGAAAGCUUCAGCCUGACAGGACUCUGGGAAAAAAAAGGUUCAGGCCGAAAAAACCUUGAAAUGAUACAGAUUAAACCCUUCUGUCAUUGAUGCCUGUUGUUUCCUGGGGGGUUCCUUGAUAUAUUCAUACUGCUGUUCACUCUUAUGUUAUGUUGUAUGACAUGAAAUAAACCAAAAAUAAGUUUGACUCAUUGAGAUCUUUUUUAUUUGUGUACAAUUUAUCACAGAAUAUGAAUUUACAUUAAAGUUGUCACUCUCUU